Molecule: RNA transcript, 3904 nt
Organism: Cavia porcellus (domestic guinea pig)
Lineage: Eukaryota; Metazoa; Chordata; Mammalia; Rodentia; Caviidae
Gene: Adam33
Gene name: ADAM metallopeptidase domain 33
Exons: 22
Source: RefSeq, a predicted model, not a curated record
AAGAGCAGCCCGCAGACCGCAGGCCUCUGCUCUAGACCUCGGCUAGUGGCCGCUGCCGCUGGAGGCAGCUGCACCUGACGGCCUCCUCCUCCCGGGCUCCGCGGACAGAACUGAGUCCCAGGGGACGGCGGCGCAGGGGGCGCUCCAGCCUUGGUCUUACUCCUCCAUCCCUCUGUGGUCCUCAAAGAACCUUCCCGCCGGUCCCCGCCCCGUCCCACCCUCUGCCCCAAGCCCCGGUGCUGCCCCGCCCGCUCCCUCCUCCCGCCCCCCUCCCGCCGGUCGGGUCGAGCCCCAGGGGCCAGGUCCAGACCGGGAGGCGGUGGCCAGGAGGCUUGCGCGGGCGUGGGGCGGCCUCCAUCCAGCCGGGGCGGAGCCGGCGGCCGGGGCCUGGAGGCCCAGGCGCUCCCAGCCAUGGGCAGGGGGUCCCUGAGAGCUCGGAGGUCGCCGGUGCUGCGGUGGCUGCUGUCACUACUGCUGCUGUCUCCCGGACUGGUGCCUGGUGCCUGGGUGCUUCCAGGGAACACUUCUGCAGAGCCAGUCACCCCACACUGGAUCCUGGAUGGACGAUCCUGGAGCACCGUCACUUUGGAAGAGCUGAUCUGGAUGCCUGACUCCGGGCUGGUGGCCUUGGAGUCUGAGGGCCAGGCACUCCUGCUUGAGUUGGAGAACAGCCGGCUGCUGGCACCAGGAUACACAGAAACCCACUACGGCCAGGAUGGGCAGCCAGUGGUGCUGCUCCCCGAGCACAUGGACCACUGCCUCUACCAUGGACGAGUGAGGGGCUUCUCCAACUCCUGGGUCAUGCUCAGCACCUGCUCCCGGGUGAGAGGCCUGAUUGGGCUCAACAGCAAUGCCAGCUAUUACCUGCAUCCCUGGCCACCUGGGGACCCAGAGGACUGGUCAACCCACAGGAUUUUCCAAAUGGAGAGACUGCUCACCGGCAAAGGGACCUGUGGCUACAGGGAGCACAGGGACAAAGAGGGCAUGGCCAGGCUUCCUUCUGCCCCCCAAAGCAGGGACAAGCGAGAAGCGCCUAGGGGCCCGAGGUACCUGGAGCUGUACCUAGUAGCAGACCACUCCCUGUACUUGAUCCAGCACCAGAACUUGAACCACACCAAACAGCGUCUCCUGGAGAUUGCCAAUUAUGUAGACCAGCUCCUCAGGACCCUGGACAUUCAGGUGGUGCUGACCGGCCUGGAAGUGUGGACAGAGCAGGACCGCAGCCGCGUCACGGCCGACGCGAACGCCACGCUUUGGGACUUUCUGCAGUGGCGUCGGGAGCUAUGGGCACGGCGACCGCACGACUCCACACAGCUGCUCACGGGCCGCACUUUCCGGGGCUCCUCCGUGGGGCUGGCGCCCGUCGGGGGCAUAUGCCGCUCAGAGAGCUCGGGAGGCGUGAGCACGGACCAUUCGGAGCUCCCCAUCGGCGCUGCGGUCACCAUGGCCCACGAGAUCGGCCACAGCUUGGGCCUCAGCCACGACCCCGACGGCUGCUGCACAGAGCAAGGCGGCUGCGUCAUGGCCGCGGCCACGGGGCACCCGUUCCCGCGCGUCUUCAGCGCCUGCAGCCGCCGCCAGCUACGCGCCUUCUUCCGCAAGGGAGGCGGCGCGUGCCUCUCCAACGCCCCGGAGCCCGGGCUCCCGGUGCCGCCCUCGCGCUGCGGGAACGGCUUCGUGGAAGCGGGCGAAGAGUGCGACUGCGGGUCUGGCCAGAAGUGCCCGGACCCUUGCUGCUUCGCCCACAACUGCUCGCUGCGCGCGGGCGCCCAGUGCGCCCACGGGGACUGCUGCGCGCGCUGCCUGCUGAAGCCGGCUGGCUCGUUGUGCCGCCAGGCUGCGGGAGACUGCGACCUCCCUGAGUUCUGCACGGGCGCCUCGCCGCACUGUCCCCCGGAUGUUUACCUGCUGAAUGGCUGGCCCUGCGCCGGGGGCCGAGGCUACUGCCGGGACGGCGCGUGCCCCACGCUGGAGCAGCAGUGCGAGCAACUCUGGGGGCCUGGCUCCCGCCCAGCCCCUGAGGCCUGUUUCCAGCAGGGGAACCUCGCCGGAGACGCCUCUGGAAACUGUGGCCAGGAUGGCGCAGGCCGCUUCCUGCCUUGCGCUCAGAGGGACGCUCAGUGUGGGACGCUGCAGUGCCAGGGCGGGGAACCCAACCCCAUGGUGCCGCACAUGGCGCCUGUGGAGUCCACGGCUCGCUUCGAUGGCCACGAAGUGGCUUGCCGUGCAGCCCUGGUGCUCCCGGAUGCCCAACUGGACCCGCUGGACUUGGGCCUGGUAGAGCCAGGCACUCACUGUGGACCUGGAAUGGUGUGCCAAGACAGACACUGCCAGAACGCUUCCUCCCAGGAGCUGGAGCGCUGCCUGACUGCCUGCCACAACCGUGGAGUUUGCAAUAGCAACCAAAACUGCCACUGCUCUUCGGGCUGGGCUCCGCCCUUCUGUGACAAGCUAGGCUUCGGCGGCAGUGUAGACAGUGGCCCAGUGCGGCCUGAAAGUGGCAAUACCUUCCUGCUGGCAGUGCUCCUCAGCUUCCUGCUGUCUCUGCUCACCGGGGUGGGCCUGGCCUGGUGCUGCUUCCGACUCCCUGGGCUCCAGCUCCAGCGAUGCCCCUGGGGCUGUAGGAAGGACCCCGAAAGCAAUGGGCCCAAAGGCGGCCCACACAGGGACCACAGUGUAGGUGACGUUCAUCUUGUGCAGCUGGACCCUAGGGCCAUCGGAGACCCCUGGCCACUGGGGGCUCCAGCCGACUGUGCUGAGCACUCAUUCUCCACAUUUGCUCCCAGCCCCUGAGAACCCUGCCCAAGCCCAGCAGCUACCCUGGGAAGCCUGAGCCCUGCAGCCCUUUUACCUCUGAGGUCAAGUCCAGAUACCAAGACUCUAUUACGGGGGAUAGGUGACCACUGACGGCCACUCUAGGAGAUUGAAUCCCAAGGAUAGACUCAGGGAGUCAACUGAUCCAUGUCUUCCAAAGCUUGGAGGUUUCUUCCUGCCCUGCUGAGCCACUCCAGGACCCCAGAGCCUCAUCAGAAGUUUCCUGAUACCGUCCCUGGUCCUGCGGGCUGGGGCAUGCCCUCCAGCCUAAACAUCCAUCACAGAGGAGCGAAGCCUCACAGUCCCCAGCCUGCAGUAGGGAGCCCUCUGUUAUGGGUGUUGCUGCGUCUCCUGCACUUUCCCUCCGUGCAGCUCUGUGGGGGCAGGGCCUCCUGGACCCCAACAUUUCUGAUGGAACGUACAUUUCCAGGAGCCUGAGUCUUGCAAACAAGCACACAAAACCACCGGGACCACCUUUCCAGUCUCCCCCUGCUCCAUCCGGUACCUUGGCUGCUUCUGUAGCCCCCACCCUGACUGCUAGCUUUCCACCUGAGGCUGCAGAGGGUGUGGUCCUCUGUAGCCCCUUCCCUGGGACAUUGCUUAGUCCUUCCCCAUUCUGUGGGAAGGGUCAGGGGAGCCAGGUCAGGAAAGACAGCAGUGUAGUCAUGAGAAAGAUAGGCUUCUGUUUUUUCUGUUGUAAAUUGAACCCCUUGAGGUGUCUUGAGGGUCACCUGGGUUGGCUGGUGGUGGGUGGAGCCUCCAGUGACAGCCAGGGUUCAUCCGGCCUCAGCAGGGCAUCACCCAGGGAAUUACCCCUUUGCUUGCCUCUCCUGUCCCCUUAGAUAUUCUCAUCUCCCAUUGCUCAUGCCAGAGUUGCUGAGUGACUUUCUGUAUCAGAUAGCUGUUGCUAUGUAACAAAAUCAUUUCCAAAACCAAGUUGCUUAAAUCAACAGGCACCCCACCAUAUUUCUGAGGGUGUGAAGAAUCAGGAAUCUUCGUAGUCUAUCAUUGGCAGCCAAAGAGGUAGCAACCCCAACUCAUCUGUAGCUCAUUCUGUCAUGGUUCUAAUAAAUAUCCCAAGUUAGUUUUA